This is a long non-coding RNA of Vombatus ursinus (common wombat), 2017 nucleotides long. RefSeq lists it as uncharacterized. The transcript is spliced from 3 exons. The record is from RefSeq and is a predicted model, not a curated record. Lineage: Eukaryota; Metazoa; Chordata; Mammalia; Diprotodontia; Vombatidae.
UGUUGGUGAAGGACGUUUCUUGGGAGAGACUGACUAUGACCAGAAAUGUCAUUCUUGAUGCGGAGCAUCUGUUGCCCUUACUCAAAGAGUGUCAGCUAUAUUCUACUUUGCAUCAUCCAAAAAUUUGACAAGCAUGUCAUCUAUAUCUCCAUGCAAAUCACUGAAAACAGUUUUGAAGAACACAGAUCUCUGGGAAACUACAAUAAAGACUUUUCUUCAUAUUGAUCUCAACAAUGACUUGUGGUCUGUGUUACACACCAAGGACAACAUGGCUUCUGAUUUUUCUUCAGUUGAUCUUCACUUGAAUGCUGCCACAGGAGUCAGAAGGUUCCCCUUUGCCAGAGAUCUUCUAGGAAAAGUCAGAUAACCUUCCAUUGAGGAUGUUGUAAAGAUCAUUCUUAUUUCCGUAUUGUUUGUUUUAGGUGGCUUCUGACAGCCUUUCAGACUCUGAGAGUCUAUAAUUCUGUCCAUCAUGCUCCACUUCAUUCUUGUUGAUGACCUGUAAAGCAGACUGCUAUUCCAGCUGCUCCUUCACCUUUUUCUCUAAGAUGCAGGUCAACUUGUACUUCCAGCUCAGGCAACAGUGGCCAUGGCAGAAAGACAAAUAUCACACACUUCAUGUCAGUCAUUGAAAAAUCCUUCUUUCCCUCUAUACUCACAGAAAGGAAGAUCUUCAAAUCUCAGUCCUCUGUUGUUGGUGUUGGGACAAUACCCCUGGUCACCAGUUCCCAUGACAGAUUGUCAUGACACACUAAAACCCAGGUCUCUCUUGACUCCUCCUUCUACUAUAUCACCCUUUUUUACAAUAUCACUGACACUGAAAAUCCAAUUGCCAUCUCCUACAUGGGUGAAAUAAGGUCAUUAACAUGCCAACACAGGCAUUCCUUCACAUGCUGCUAGCAAAGUCAGUUGCUGAUCAUUGUCACUAAGACCAAGAAGGCUGCCACUGCUAAUGUGAAAAACAAAGCUACUGUCCCUAUACUUGAUCAAUACUCAUAGUGAGACCAAAUACUUUAGGAAAAUAUCACAUAUUAGAGCUGGAAGGGACCUCAUAGGUCAUCCAACCUAAUUUUUAUGGAUGAGGAAACUGAGACCCUCAGUUACCCCAAAUCACACUGGGAACAAGUAGUAGAGAUAGGAUUCAAACCCAGGUCCUCUGACUCCAAAUCCAGUGUUCUUUUCCAAUAUGCCAUACUGUCCUGGAUGACCUUCCCCAACUUUAUGCUGUAUGCCUCCUCCUACUUGGUCCAAGACCCACUAUAUCAAGUUGUCCAUCAAGUUUUCUCUCACAUCUAUGGGAGGUUAUGGAAUAUCAUGCCUGCUUAUCAUCUCAAUAGUUCCUUUACUCCUAUUCCCAAGUGAGUGAGUCCCUUUCCAAAGGGAUAUGCCAGGAAUUGGGCAGUGGACUAUAUUCACUGGGAAACUCUCUUUGGGAUUAUUAGUAUGUAAGGGUUUGCAGCCAUAGUAGCCCCUGAGGUAAAAGAAAAAGAAUGCACUCAUUCUUUCUAUAGGGUAUUUAUAACUUAUUCUCAGCUAAGAAAUAUCAAAGCAUUAAGUGUCCCUUGGUAGUCAACAUCCACACCAUUGCAGCUUACCAAAUUCUAUUCAGCCCCAGUUUUUAUGAUAUCCUUGCCUCUUUUCUGUGCACUGCAGAGGAAUCUACACAACUGGUCUCGCCAGUCCCCUUAUGUAUGUAUGUAUGUAUGUAUGUAUGUGUGUGUGUGUGUGUGUGUGUGUGUUAAUGAAACUGACUGACUCAAGAAAAUGAAGGCUUAUUCAUGUUAAUGAGGGAACUGGCUCUGAGUACAUUAUUUAUAUGCUAUCUCUGUUGAUACAGUAACAAGAUACCUAAGAUAAAGCAACUGGGAAGCACAGGUGUCCAGCUUCAGUUGCCUUAGAGACUUCUCUCUACAGAUAUUGUUCUUCCUUCUUUCUUAUAAGUCAUUAAGACAAUGAAACAUGUGCCGCCUCCUUUAAAAGAUUGGUCUAUUUGAAAACAUAUGUAUGGGGGCAGCUA